AUUGAACGCUGGCGGCAUGCCUUACACAUGCAAGUCGAACGGUAACGGGUCUUCGGAUGCUGGCGAGUGGCGAACGGGUGAGUAAUACAUCGGAACGUGCCUAGUAGUGGGGGAUAACUACUCGAAAGAGUGGCUAAUACCGCAUGAGAUCUACGGAUGAAAGCAGGGGAUCGCAAGACCUUGUGCUACUAGAGCGGCCGAUGGCAGAUUAGGUAGUUGGUGGGAUAAAAGCUUACCAAGCCGACGAUCUGUAGCUGGUCUGAGAGGACGAUCAGCCACACUGGGACUGAGACACGGCCCAGACUCCUACGGGAGGCAGCAGUGGGGAAUUUUGGACAAUGGGCGAAAGCCUGAUCCAGCAAUGCCGCGUGCAGGAUGAAGGCCUUCGGGUUGUAAACUGCUUUUGUACGGAACGAAAAGCCCCGGGUUAAUACCCUGGGGUCAUGACGGUACCGUAAGAAUAAGCACCGGCUAACUACGUGCCAGCAGCCGCCGUAA
This 498-nucleotide ribosomal RNA is filed under the name uncultured bacterium. RNAcentral describes it as "partial 16S ribosomal RNA". It matches the Rfam family "Bacterial small subunit ribosomal RNA", at positions 30 to 523 of the family's 1533-position model. The record is from RNAcentral.